This 334-nucleotide unclassified non-coding RNA is filed under the name soil metagenome. RNAcentral's name for it is "partial contains 5.8S ribosomal RNA, internal transcribed spacer 2, and large subunit ribosomal RNA". The stretch from base 1 to 120 matches the Rfam family "5.8S ribosomal RNA", at positions 35 to 154 of the family's 154-position model. The record is from RNAcentral.
GAUGAAGAACGCAGCGAAAUGCGAUAAGUAAUGUGAAUUGCAGAAUUCAGUGAAUCAUCGAAUCUUUGAACGCAUCUUGCGCUCCUUGGUAUUCCGAGGAGCAUGCCUGUUUGAGUGUCAUUUGUACCUUCAAGCUUUGCUUGGUGUUGGGUGUUUGUCCAUUCUCUUGCAGAGGGACUCGCCUUAAAGUAAUUGGCAGCCAGUGUUUUGGUUUUGAAGCGCAGCACAAGUCGCGAUUCAAAGCUAUACGCCCGCUUCCACAAGCCUUUUUCACUUUUGACCUCGGAUCAGGUAGGGAUACCCGCUGAACUUAAGCAUAUCAAUAAGCGGAGGA